This is a non-coding RNA of Triticum aestivum (bread wheat), 132 nucleotides long. The record is from Rfam. NCBI's taxonomy places the organism in Eukaryota, Viridiplantae, Streptophyta, Magnoliopsida, Poales, Poaceae.
AACAUACUCCCUCCGUCCGGAAAUACUUAUCAUCAAGAUGGAUAAAAAGAGAUAUAUUUAGAAUUAAAAUACAUCUAGAUACAUCCCCUUUUAUCCAGUUUGAUGACAAGUAUUUCCGGGAGGGAGUAUAAA